GCCAUGCCGCGUGCAGGAUGACGGUCCUAUGGAUUGUAAACUGCUUUUGCACAGGAAGAAACACUCCGACGUGUCGGAGCUUGACGGUACUGUGAGAAUAAGGAUCGGCUAACUCCGUGCCAGCAGCCGCGGUAAUACGGAGGAUCCAAGCGUUAUCCGGAAUCAUUGGGUUUAAAGGGUCCGUAGGCGGUCUUGUAAGUCAGUGGUGAAAGCCCAUCGCUCAACGGUGGAACGGCCAUUGAUACUGCAGGACUUGAAUUAUUGGGAAGUAACUAGAAUAUGUAGUGUAGCGGUGAAAUGCUUAGAGAUUACAUGGAAUACCAAUUGCGAAGGCAGGUUACUACCAAUUUAUUGACGCUGAUGGACGAAAGCGUGGGUAGCGAACAGGAUUAGAUACCCUGGUAGUCCACGCCGUACACGAUGGAUACUAGCUGUUGGGAGCAAUCUCAGUGGCUAAACGAAAGUGAUAAGUAUCCCACCUGGGGAGUACGAACGCAAGUUUGAAACUCAAAGGAAUUGACGGGGGCCCGCACAAGCGGUGGAGCAUGUGGUUUAAUUCGAUGAUACGCGAGGAACCUUACCAAGGCUUAAAUGCAGACUGACCGAUUUGGAAACAGAUCUUU
RNAcentral lists this ribosomal RNA (623 nucleotides) under Flavobacterium sp. So3Pw_2900. RNAcentral describes it as "bacterial SSU rRNA". It matches the Rfam family "Bacterial small subunit ribosomal RNA", at positions 391 to 1015 of the family's 1533-position model. Lineage: Bacteria; Pseudomonadati; Bacteroidota; Flavobacteriia; Flavobacteriales; Flavobacteriaceae. The record is from RNAcentral.